Malania oleifera is the source of this 106-nucleotide small nucleolar RNA. The record is from RefSeq and is a predicted model, not a curated record. NCBI's taxonomy places the organism in Eukaryota, Viridiplantae, Streptophyta, Magnoliopsida, Santalales, Ximeniaceae.
ACUUGAUGAUGUGGACAUUUAUGUAGAAGGUCCUUGAAACGCUCCCAAGUCUCGAAGGAUUGCUCACCAUCUAUCUGGGUAAAACUAGUGAUGGCCUUCCUAAGCU